Molecule: ribosomal RNA, 264 nt
Filed under: uncultured bacterium
Lineage: Bacteria
Description: partial 16S ribosomal RNA
Rfam family: Bacterial small subunit ribosomal RNA
Source: RNAcentral
AUGAACGCUGGCGGCGUGCUUAACACAUGCAAGUCGAACGAUUAAAGCUCACUUCGGUGAGUGUAUAGAGUGGCGAACGGGUGAGUAACACGUGGGAAACCUGCCCCUUUCUUCGGGAUAACUUCGGGAAACCGUUGCUAAUACCGGAUACUCCGGGAUGGUCGCAUGGCCGACCCGGGAAAGCUUUAUGUGGAAAGGGAUGGUCCCGCGGCCCAUUAGCUUGUUGGUGGGGUAAUGGCCUACCAAGGCAACGAUGGGUAGCCG